This 398-nucleotide ribosomal RNA is filed under the name uncultured bacterium. RNAcentral's name for it is "bacterial SSU rRNA". It matches the Rfam family "Bacterial small subunit ribosomal RNA", at positions 362 to 776 of the family's 1533-position model. The record is from RNAcentral.
UAUUGCACAAUGGGGGGAACCCUGAUGCAGCGACGCCGCGUGGGUGAAGAAGCGCCUCGGCGCGUAAAGCCCUGUCAGCAGGGAAGAAGAAAGACGGUACCUGACUAAGAAGCCCCGGCUAACUACGUGCCAGCAGCCGCGGUAAUACGUAGGGGGCAAGCGUUAUCCGGAUUUACUGGGUGUAAAGGGAGCGGAGACGGCUGUGCAAGUCUGAAGUGAAAGCCCAGGGCUCAACCCUGGGACUGCUUUGGAAACUGUGGAGCUAGAGUGCUGGAGAGGUAAGUGGAAUUCCUAGUGUAGCGGUGAAAUGCGUAGAUAUUAGGAGGAACACCAGUGGCGAAGGCGGCUUACUGGACAGUAACUGACGUUGAGGCUCGAAAGCGUGGGGAGCAAACAGG